GUACUUCUGAACACCAUACCUAUGGCAGCAGAUUUAGGAAUUCCAAUGAAUUCUAAAAACAGAAUUAGCUGUUGUCAUUCCCCAGAAACGGUUACACUGCCAAUCCCUUCUGACGUAGUUUCGAAAAAAUAUAAAAUUGGAUACAAGAUAAUACGAAACAACAAGGAAACAUGAAACCGGCUAAGAGGAAAAUCCACAACGUAAACCUGAUUGGUAGUGGAAGCUAAGUUGAUAAUGCGAUAUUAACGUCACUGUGCCAUAGAAACAAGCACCUUGCAGACAUUACAGUAAAUUCCAUUUUAAAGACUUUACCAGUAUGACGCACUCGUCGGAAUUAAUUAUCUUGUUUAUAGUCCAUCCCGAGAUCUCAUAGAGACCGGUCAUGUAGCGCACAGUGACAUAGCCAAAUAAAUAAUCUAUCAAUUUAAAAGUCAAUGUAAUUAUUGAUAAUAAAAUUUAAGUGUCUACAUAUUGAGACAGUGAAAACUAGAAAAAUAACAGUGUACAAACAACAUGAGGCUUCAGAAUGCCGAAACCUUACGAUGAAUAAAGUUGUCGAUUGAAAGGAAGUGUUAAACAGAGUGCGCGCAGCAGGCUCAUGUGUUGGGCUGCAGCGGCCGCGGCUUGAUCAUCAUGGAGGCGCGCUUCAGCGUGUAGUCCCAGCCUCGCCAGCGGAACCACACGAUCCCUGCAACCGGACGACCGUGGAUUAGACUAGGAUACUAACGAUCAUAAACACUUGUGGAGGAACAUCAGGCAGCCGACGAAGCCGAAAAGUAACAAGCGAAACGAGCCGAAAAGUAACAAAUUCGUUUACCGCAGCGAGUAAGUUGACCCUUCCAAGGGGCCAGCCAGGAACGAAACUCUUAUAGAAAGUCAUUUAUUUAAGACGCUACAGGAGCGAAAAAAUUGGGAAUUUUAGUUAAAUAUACUAGUGUUAUUGACUAGAUUUAUCGCAAAAAAAUUGUCCAUUCAAGACAACUCAGUUAAAAGAUAUU
RNAcentral lists this unclassified non-coding RNA (998 nucleotides) under Leguminivora glycinivorella. Its description in RNAcentral is "dynein axonemal intermediate chain 2-like, transcript variant X3". The record is from RNAcentral. Lineage: Eukaryota; Metazoa; Arthropoda; Insecta; Lepidoptera; Tortricidae.